This 1961-nucleotide long non-coding RNA is filed under the name Heterocephalus glaber (naked mole-rat). RNAcentral's name for it is "lncRNA (ENSHGLG00000035662.1)". The record is from RNAcentral. Lineage: Eukaryota; Metazoa; Chordata; Mammalia; Rodentia; Bathyergidae.
CGAGUUCCUCCCAGCUCCCGGGGUCUCCUUUCCUACCAGAAGCUUUCCUCCUUUCUUUUCUGCCCCGUCACGUGUGACACAAUGAAGGCACCUGACCCAGAUGGCACCUGUGUGAGGAUGGCUUCUAUCACCGGUAGGUCCUCCCUGUUUAACCCGACAGUGGUAUCCAGUUUUAAUUUGCAAAUGAUCUCCCUGCUCAUUGCUCCCCAAAUCCUUCAGGCAGUCACCUGUAGAAUAAAGAAAAGCACAGGCUGGUCAAAGACAGUCUCGGGCCAUUUUGCCAAAUUAUCUCCACAGUUGUCGUGGGAGCACAGGAAAUCCGUUUCACUGCCGAGCAAAGAUGCUAAAAUUUGGGAAAUGAAACAUGCUGUGAAGUGGCCACACUGCUCCCAAACCAAUGUCUCCGUGUUGUGCCCUUGCUGGGCGGUGGAAGAGGGCAGAUGGCCCGAGAUUGUCUGAUUAGCGGGGUAAUAAGCACCCGGCUCGGAGGGGACAUGAGUGGCAGAACAGAGGGGUGAAGAGAGGCCACCUGCAAGGGACGAGUGGUCUCAGAGCUGAGCUUGUGAUAGCUCCUGUCGGUUCGGGGGAAACUGUUUAGAAAGAGGAACCUGCGAAAGACCCCUGGGGACCCAGCACCCUGAUCAGGGUUCUCAGCCACAUCUCUCCCUUGUCUGAAAACACCUCCAUCAACCUUAGCAGCUCUCCCCUUGCUGCCUCUCUUCCUGGAGUCACCCAGUUGAUCUUAACGUCUCGGCCAGGGGGGAAGGCGAUGGCGGGAGUGCAGCCAGCAAGAGCCCAGGCCGUGGCACCGAGAGAACAGCGACCUUGCGCUCAUUUAGUCACACAAGUGACAAUUCGGCUCCAUCUGUGUGUCCAGCCCCUCAGUGACACAGGCAGGAUUCCUGUUCCUAAAGUUCAUGUUCGUGGUGGAGAACAUUAAUAAUUGAUGAUGGGGAUGGGGAUGUGGGGGCCAAGGACACCCAGGGCCGGGGCACACAUUGGAGGUGGUGUGGAAGUGUGGAAGGGGGGGUGCAUCCCAAGCUGCCAGGACCAGGCGUAGACAGGGAGGAGCGGGGAGCACACAGCCCCGCGUGGCAUCUGGUGUCCUUUCAGACACCCCCGAACGCUCUCUGCCUCACCCCCAUUUUAGCUGCCUAAAGGUGGCCCUGGUGUGGGAACGGGGGGAGCAGGAAGGCCUUGGACCAGAGUGCAUCCAGAGGGCGUUCCAAGGUCGGCUGACACAGUUCUGGUCUCCUGUUCCAUGUGCUCAGGUUGUAUGCCUGUGCAUAUUUUAAACUAACAUUUCAUGUGAAAUUUAAGUCACAACAAAAUGAGAGCUCAUAGGGCAGGAAAACCUGGAUUUGAAGGUGCAUGCCUGUUAUCCCAGAACUCAGGAGGCUGAGGCAGGAAUUGGCAGCCAGCCUGGGCUACAUAGUGAGUCCCAUAUGAGACCCUGAGAAAAGCGAACAAAAAAACAGGGCAGGGAAAUCCACAUACUCUACAUCAACCAUCAAUUGCACUUGUCAGUUCAGCCACACCCAAUGUUCUUUUCUUUUUGAGACGGUCUUUCUGCUUUGCCCAGGCUGGUUUCUAAUUCCUGAGGUCAAGUGACCCUAUAUUGCAUUACAUAUAUGUUGUAUGCUAAUAUUUAUUUAAAUAUGUUACAUAUCAAACUUAGUAUCAGUCAGUUAGAAUGCCCCUAAGAACUCGUUCUGGUUUUUGUUUAGUGUUUACAGUAUUUUGUUCCUUGUUAUUUCAUCUUAUGAUUUUUCCUCUAUAUAAAACCCCUUUCAAUGGCAGAUAAAGCCUUCUUGGAAACAUGCCAUGUUGUAUUUGUUAAAAUCUAUGUAACUCUUUCAGUGCCUCAUGACUGACAGCAGCAGCUUGCAUAUCACCAUGCCAAGCUUGUGCAAGAAAUUCUGUUAAAGAGUACAAGGCUGAAGGAAGAGCACAACACUCUG